Gambusia affinis (western mosquitofish) is the source of this 784-nucleotide long non-coding RNA. RefSeq lists it as uncharacterized. The record is from RefSeq and is a predicted model, not a curated record. The transcript is spliced from 3 exons. NCBI's taxonomy places the organism in Eukaryota, Metazoa, Chordata, Actinopteri, Cyprinodontiformes, Poeciliidae.
AAUCCCCCCCUCCUUCGCUCUCCAGUAUGGAUGACCAGCUCUGCGGGGGCUGACCCGUUUUUCUGAAGGGGGCCGCUUGGCUGCGGGUGACAGGCAAGCCACCGCUCUGGAAGAUGAACCCCCAACCCAUCAGGUCUUUCCCAGCCUCUUUCACAUCAUCCUCCAUCCACCUUCCAAUCAUCACUUAUGAGUUUCCCUUGUUGCAGCUGAAGAAAAGGCUCCCCACAGCAUGAUACUACCAUCAUCAUGUUAAACAUACUAAAGUGCAUACAAGCUGACAUGCAAGAGAGGUGAGCCAGGGUCCGUGUGAGAGGCAGGGGGUGAAGCUGCAGAGGACGGAGCAGCUUCUGUCCGUGUGAAUCGGAAGGACGAUUAGGGGCUUAUUAGCGGCCCAGGGAGAAGUGUAAGUUGUUGGGGAGUGAGCAGGCAGAGCCCCGGCGACAUCUCCAGCCGAGAACAAUCCGAGCCAUUGUCUCACCUAAUUACAGCGGAUGGACUUCUUUUUGUUUCCCAUUCUCCAUGCCUGUCUGGUUCCCUUUUUUCACCCGGCCACAGACUCAGACAAUGCUGAAGUGUGCUAAUUAGAAAAGAAAUGGUCUUCGUAAUUAUGUCAACUCUUAUUAACCAUGGCCACAAUGAGUAAUAUUAUUUCUACGCAAUGUUUUGUGUAGAGGACCCAGCUUCCAAUGCUCAUUAAACAGAAAGCAAGGCCUUGUGAGCCGGGUAGAACUCUAAUAUCUGGGUCUCUUCAAUGAGGACAGGAGGAAGGUGCUGCAUUUUGAUG